RNAcentral lists this small nucleolar RNA (84 nucleotides) under Corchorus olitorius. Its description in RNAcentral is "Small nucleolar RNA R160". It matches the Rfam family "Small nucleolar RNA R160". From Rfam's summary of the family: snoR160 is a C/D box small nucleolar RNA, which acts as a methylation guide for 25S ribosomal RNA in plants. snoR160 has been alternatively named snoZ270 in rice. Lineage: Eukaryota; Viridiplantae; Streptophyta; Magnoliopsida; Malvales; Malvaceae. The record is from Rfam by way of RNAcentral.
AGCAAAAUGAUGAGAUUUUUUGAUGGCUGAAUUGGAUGUUGAAUUCCCAUAUCAUUAAAUGGUCUUCAAAGUUCUCUGAUUGCU